UACGGAGGGUGCAAGCGUUGUUCGGAAUCAUUGGGCGUAAAGCGCGUGUAGGCGGCUUGGCAAGUCGGUUGUGAAAGCCCGGGGCCCAACCCCGGAAUUGCAUCCGAAACUGCCUGGCUAGAGUCCCGGAGAGGAAGGCAGAAUUCCCGGUGUAGGGGUGAAAUCCGUAGAUAUUGGGAAGAACACCAGUGGCGAAGGCGGCUCACUGGUCCGAUACUGACGCUGAGGUGCGAAAGCGUGGGGAGCAAACAGG
This 253-nucleotide ribosomal RNA is filed under the name uncultured bacterium. RNAcentral describes it as "partial 16S ribosomal RNA". It matches the Rfam family "Bacterial small subunit ribosomal RNA", at positions 524 to 776 of the family's 1533-position model. The record is from RNAcentral.